RNAcentral lists this ribosomal RNA (253 nucleotides) under uncultured bacterium. RNAcentral describes it as "partial 16S ribosomal RNA". It matches the Rfam family "Bacterial small subunit ribosomal RNA", at positions 524 to 776 of the family's 1533-position model. The record is from RNAcentral.
UACUGAAGGUGCAAGCGUUAAUCGGAAUUACUGGGUGUAAAGCGUGCGCAGGCGGUUUUAUAAGACAGGUGUGAAAUCCCCGGGCUCAACCUGGGAAUGGCAUUUGUGACUGUAAGACUAGAGUACGGUAGAGGGGGAUGGAAUUCCGCGUGUAGCAGUGAAAUGCGUAGAUAUGCGGAGGAACACCGAUGGCGAAGGCAAUCCCCUGGACCUGUACUGACGCUCAUGCACGAAAGCGUGGGGAGCAAACAGG